CUUAGUGAAUAUUUUUCCUUAGUUUGUCUCUCACUUUAUGACAUUCCUACUAAUUAUUUAAGUUAUUUCCUAUGCUUUAUUUUUUUUCUAUGAUUUGGGAACUCUAUAGUCAUUCAUUUGAGUGUUGACAUAUCUGGCUCUGGAUUCUCUGUUAACUCUUUUCUUUUACGUCAACUUAUUUUCUUCCUGAUACUUUUUGGAUAAAUUCUUUGACUUGAUUUUUCACCUUCCACAUUUUCUCAUUUGGCUGUAUCCUUUUGAUUGUCUAUUGAGUUCCUUGUUUCAAUAAUUAUGUGUUUUAAUACACAGAUCUCAGUAUUAUCAUUAAAGCUACCACCCUAUUUUAUUCUUUUCUUUUUUAUUUUAUUUUAGUUAUUUAUUUGAGAGGUAGAGCUAAAGACAGAGAGAAAGGUCUUCCAUCUGCUAGAUCAUUCCUCAAAUGGCUACAAUGCCAGAUCUGGGCUGACCUGAAGGCAGGUGCCAGGAGCUUCUUCCAGGUCUCCCACAUGGGUGCAGGGGCCCGAGCACUUGAGGUAUCUUUUACCAGGCCAUAAUCAGAGAGCUGGAUUGAAAGAAGAACUUUCAGGACACGAGAUGGCAUCUCGAGAUGCCAGCACUACAAUGGAGGCUUAGACUACACUGCCCCAGUGCCAGCAACAAUUUUACAGUUUUCUUUAAGGAUAUUGUCUGUUUUAAAUUUCCAUUUUUUACCUGCUUUCUCUCUGGUAGAUUAUUCAGUGUAUUGUACUUUUUAUAAUCCUGAGGUUUCUUAUUAAUCACUUUCUGAGUCUAUGUUGCUGUGGAAUACUUAGAUUUGUCCUUUUUGACAUCAUAUGUUGGGAAGUAGGUAAUAACAUCAGAACCUAAGCCAUAGAUUCAUGCUUUCUACAUGAGUGAAGGGGAGAAAUGAGGAUGGAGAAGUACAAGGUUGCUCUAUGUUCCUGCAGAAAAGUUUCAUUAAAUAUAUUGCUUAAAAUAUCCAUAAAAGUUAACAGAUGCACGAAGAAUAAUAAAAUAUCUUGAAAACAGAUAAGACAGGAAGAAUUCAGGUGAAAAUUAACUAUAAUACAAAAAAGCUGAAGAAAAUUAAAUCAGUGUUUAUGUUGGUGAAAAAGCAGUAUAUAUGGACAGAUAUGCUAACAUAUAUUACAUAAUUAAUAAACAAAAAUAAGCUAUAUAAAAAUCAAAUCUAAUAAUUGGAGCACCAUUUAGCAGCUUUUAAGAGGUCCAUAUCCAAUAUCUGGGAACCUAUGUUCAUACCUGGCUCCGGCGCUUGACUCCAGCUUCCUACUCAUGGACAUCCUGGGAAGCAGUGGUUAUGGCUCCAGCGGUUGUGUUCCUGUCACCUGUUUGGGAGAUCUGCAUUGAAUUCCUGGCUCCUUACUCAUCUCUGCUCAGCCCUUGCAAUUUUGAGUAUUUGAAGACUGCAUUAAAGGAUGGGACAGAUGUCUCUGUCAAUUUCCUGCCAAUGUAGACCUUGAGAGGCAGCCAGCAAGAGAUGACUUAAGUACUUGAGUUCCUGCUAUCCUCCUGGAGACCUGGAUUGAGAUCCUGGCUACCAGCUUCAGUCUGACCAAGCCCUAGCCAUUGUAAGCGUUAAAGAAGUGAACCACAGAUGAAAGUGCUCACUCUUUCUCUUUCUCGCUCUCUCUUUC
Molecule: non-coding RNA, 1655 nt
Organism: Oryctolagus cuniculus (rabbit)
Lineage: Eukaryota; Metazoa; Chordata; Mammalia; Lagomorpha; Leporidae
Source: RefSeq, a predicted model, not a curated record